Non-coding RNA from Odocoileus virginianus texanus, 192 nucleotides. The record is from RefSeq and is a predicted model, not a curated record. NCBI's taxonomy places the organism in Eukaryota, Metazoa, Chordata, Mammalia, Artiodactyla, Cervidae.
UAGCAUCAACUCAGUGAUCAGCCGUGAAUCUGAAAAGUUGCCAGAACAUAAACAUACUCUGCCAAACUUGCCAAGGGUAGGCUGCAAACUCCCCAGAAGAGAUGUUUUCCCUACAUCCAGAAAAAAAGGAGCAUAAAAACCAAGGGAAGAAGAAUCCUAACAAACAGGGGAUCUUCUCAACCCAGGCAUUGA